GACGAAGGGGGCUAGCGUUGUUCGGAAUUACUGGGCGUAAAGCGCGUGUAGGCGGUUGCCCAAGUCGGGUGUGAAAGCCUUGAGCUCAACUCAAGAAAUGCACUCGGUACUGGGUGACUAGAGGACCGGAGAGGAUAGUGGAAUUCCCAGUGUAGUGGUGAAAUACGUAGAGAUUGGGAAGAACACCAGUGGCGAAGGCGGCUCACUGGUCCGGUACUGACGCUGAGGUGCGAAAGCGUGGGGAGCAAACAGG
RNAcentral lists this ribosomal RNA (253 nucleotides) under uncultured bacterium. Its description in RNAcentral is "partial 16S ribosomal RNA". It matches the Rfam family "Bacterial small subunit ribosomal RNA", at positions 524 to 776 of the family's 1533-position model. The record is from RNAcentral.